Non-coding RNA from Acanthosepion pharaonis, 86 nucleotides. NCBI's taxonomy places the organism in Eukaryota, Metazoa, Mollusca, Cephalopoda, Sepiida, Sepiidae. The record is from the annotation of a GenBank genome assembly.
AACACUGGUUCCCUUAUGAUCACCAAAGUUAAGCAACAUUGAGCCUGCUCAGUAACUAGAUGGGUGACUGCUUGGAAAUAUCAGGU